AACGAACGCUGGCGGCGUGGAUUAGGCAUGCAAGUCGAACGCGAAAAAGGUCCUUCGGGGCCUGAGUAGAGUGGCAAACGGGUGAGUAACGCGUGGGGAAACCUGCCCUUAUGUUGGGGAGUAACACUUCCAACGAGGUGCUAAUACCGAAUGUGAUUGUUGGAUCGCAUGUUCCGACAAUGAAAGGCGGCCUCUGCUUGCAAGCUGUCACAUAAGGAUGGUCCCGCGUCCCAUUAGCUAGUUGGUGAGGUAAUGGCCCACCAAGGCUAUGAUGGGUAGCCGGCCUUAGCGGGUGUCCGGCCACACUGGGACUGAGAUACGGCCCAGACUCCUACGGGAGGCAGCAGUGGGGAAUAUUGCGCAAUGGGCGAAAGCCUGACGCAGCGACGCCGCGUGAGGGACGAAGGUCUUCGGAUUGUAAACCUCUUUCAGCAGGGACGAAGCGAAAGUGACUGUACCUGCAGAAGAAGCACCGGCUAACUACGUGCCAGCAGACCC
RNAcentral lists this ribosomal RNA (498 nucleotides) under uncultured bacterium. Its description in RNAcentral is "bacterial SSU rRNA". It matches the Rfam family "Bacterial small subunit ribosomal RNA", at positions 29 to 518 of the family's 1533-position model. The record is from RNAcentral.